AUGGGGCUAUCAAGCUAGUCUGAAAACCCUUCCCCAAGAAAAGAGGAAACUCUUUGAAAGAGGCCAAGAAACGACCGGGCAGAGCCAGGGCAUGGCUGAAAAACGAGUGCCGGAUCCUGCUCGGAAACAGUACCCAAAUGUGCAUGACCGUCUAGUUUUAUGAGAUUGUUGUUUUUUGGAAGGCCUUCUCAUUUGUUACAUUGUGUUAGUGUUUUGAGAAUUGUGGUGUAGAAGCACGCUAAAACACUUGCUCACGAUUAUACCAUAUACAGAGAAAAAUAUCAGGACUUCUGAUGAAGAGCUUGAAGUCCUGCUGGUCGCUUGUUCCUAUCAGGUCCUGUAGCAGCAGCAACCAAAAAUCUUGCUCGCAAUUUGUGAAACCGCUCAGUGAUGCGUAUCCUCCACUCCCCUGCCGAUGUUGCAAAGGCUAUGGAGAGAUGGCAUGCGAGCAAUGCGAUGGCCGAGGCACGCUCGCGUUGGGAGGAUACCACCGCAAAAAUCCCGUCGACAUGGCCCGCGUUGUUGGAUCCAAAUGGACAGCCAUGGAGCGCACUUUUGGAUGGCGCCACUACGAAGCUCGAGCCAAGCAGCGGAUGAGCGACAAGGAAUGGUUCGUCCAAAUGGUGGCCACUUGUGACACCACCACCCAGCUGUGGGUGAAUGCGCAAAAUCUCCGGGAUCGCAAGCUUUGGAGCAUGGGGUGGCUCCAGCGAUCCGAGUUCUCCGACCUCAAGGAGCGGAAUUCGGGGCCCAAAUGCCGGGCGUGCAAGGGGCAGGGGAAGAUCCAGUGCCCCAGUUGUGAUGGAUCGUCCAUGAGCAGCAGCAAGGAGCUCCAGAUCAUCGAUGUGUGAUUGAUAAGUGUGCCCAAAAUUUGCCAGCGCUGCAUUCGUAUCUGUGGUGCCCUCGCGUGCAUUUCGAUUCUCCGCCGCAGAGACUCUAUCACUUGCAUCGUCAGUUCCGGCUGGAUGGCAGCGGCAACAAUUUCUUCAAGGUUGUCAAGUGGUCUGCUUUCUGACGUGCAACGAGGACAAGAGGCUCAGGAUUUUCAAUCUGCCUCCAAACACUCUGGAAGUUGAGGCAUUGGAUGAUCUUGCUCGGGAGAGCCUGUGGAUUUUUGCUGGUCCUCACAUGGUCGCCACAGGUUCUUCGUUUUAAUCUCUUGCACUUGAAUUUCAGUAAGGCUUUUGAUUUCUUGUAAAUCUGUCAACUUGUGUCUUCAUGACUACAACGCAGGAUCAUCCAGUUCAUUAUAGAACUUACAAUUGAAGUUUCAGCAGCAUUGUCAGUCGCUUUUAAUCCUGUGGGUAACAGGUAGAAGAUUUCUGAUAUGGUUGCCCAUGGCGCUCGUAGGCUGUUUUGUGGAUACAACAAAAGAUUAGAAUUUUUGAUGCCCCAAAUCCCGGUCGUCACUGCCAACGAGUUCCAAAGAAGGGUGAUCGUCUUUCGACGGUCACGGGCCUCUUGCAGGAAUUGUGUCGUGCCUAGCUUUUAGCGGACACCAAACAAAUCUUCUUGCGGCUGGUUCUUACGAUCGAACCAUAGCAGUGUACAACGAAGGCAACAUGGAGCUUCUAUAUGUGCUGCAAGGACACGAGGGAGGCCUCACUCAAGCAUAGUUCCUCGCUUGAGUCUAUCUAUAAGCUGCUAAGUCAAACAUGUUCAGUUCUCUAA
This is an RNA transcript of Selaginella moellendorffii, 1671 nucleotides long. RefSeq lists it as uncharacterized. The record is from RefSeq and is a predicted model, not a curated record. Lineage: Eukaryota; Viridiplantae; Streptophyta; Lycopodiopsida; Selaginellales; Selaginellaceae. The transcript is spliced from 7 exons.